GGAACAGAAUGUCAAAGAGGGUGAGAGUCCCGUCUGAGCCGAUUACUUCGUCCAUGUGAAACUCCUUCGACGAGUCGAGUUGUUUGGGAAUGCAGCUCAAAAUGGGUGGUAAAUUUCAUCUAAAGCUAAAUAUUGGCCAGAGACCGAUAGCGCACAAGUAGAGUGAUCGAAAGAUGAAAAGCACUUUGAAAAGAGAGUUAAACAGUAUGUGAAAUUGUUGAAAGGGAAGCGCUUGCAAUCAGACUUGAGCUUAACAGUUCCCCCUUCGUUCUCGUUGGGUUAUUCUGUUUUGUCCAGGCCAACAUCAGUUCGAGUGGUUGGUUAAAGAUUUUAGGAAUGUAUCUACUCUUCGGGGUCGACUUAUAGCCUAGAAUGUCAUGCAGCCUACUUGGACUGAGGAACGCGCUUCGGCUCGGAUGUUGGCGUAAUGGUUGUGAGCGGCCCGUCUUGAAACACGGACCAAGGAGUCUAACAUCUAUGCGAGUCUUUGAGUGUUAAACUCACAGGCGUAAUGAAAGUGAACGGAGGUAAGAAGCCUUAAGGCUGCAUUAUCGACCGAUCCUGAUGUCUUCGGAUGGAUUUGAGUAAGAGCAUAGCUGUGGGGACCCGAAAGAUGGUGAACUAUGCCUGAAUAGGGUGAAGCCAGAGGAAACUCUGGUGGAGGCUCGCAGCGGUUCUGACGUGCAAAUCGAUCGUCAAAUUUGGGUAUAGGGGCGAAAGACUAAUCGAACCAUCUAAACCAACCUACUGGAUGGUCAAAAAUAGUCCGGUUGACCAGCUUAACUCAAUUGGUUUAACCGUGGCUACGUUAAUACUGUGCAGGGAGGUCUUUUGACUAAUCUGCAGCCCACCGGGGUUCACAGACUAGAUAUUAGCGGUCGGUAAUACACCGAUAUGAGAUAUAGCCGUUUAGGCCUUGUGUUUAGGCUUUAGUUAAAGGGUAGCUGGUUCCUGUCGAAGUUUCCCUCAGGAUAGCAGUAACGUUUUCAGUUUUAUGAGGUAAAGCGAAUGAUUAGAGGCCUUGGGGGCGUGUUUCGCCCUCGAUAUCGAGUCCAUAGUGGCGAGGCCUGUGAUCUGUGGGGAUGUUUAGUUAAAGCUCUUAACUAAACUGCCCACACCCAUUUCGAUGGGUUACAGAUCAAGCAUAGGUCGGUAGAUUUCAUGKCUACUCCUGAUAUGAUCGGACUUUGACUGKUAGUUAAAGAGAUUUGGAAAUGCUCUUAACCUAUUCUCAAACUUUAAAUAUGUAAGAAGUCCUUGUUACUUAAUUGAACGUGGACAUUUGAAUGUACCGUUACUAGUGGGCCAUUUUUGGUAAGCAGAACUGGCGAUGCGGGAUGAACCGAACGUGAGGUUAAGGUGCCGGAAUACACGCUCAUCAGACACCACAAAAGGUGUCAAUGCAUCUAGACAGCCGGACGGUGGCCAUGGAAGUCGGAAUCCGCUUAGGAGUGUGUAACAACUCACCGGCCGAAUGCAUUGGCCCUGAAAAUGGAUGGCGCUUAAGCGUGUUACCUAUACCUCGCCAUUAGAGUUGAAAUUAUGCUCUAAUGAGUAGGC
Molecule: ribosomal RNA, 1560 nt
Filed under: Epibryaceae sp. A1026
Lineage: Eukaryota; Fungi; Ascomycota; Eurotiomycetes; Chaetothyriales; Epibryaceae
Description: LSU rRNA
Rfam family: Eukaryotic large subunit ribosomal RNA
Source: RNAcentral